UCCUUCCAGCCCUUUCACCAGCUUGGUUGCCCUCCCCUGGACACAUUCAAGGACCUUCACAUCCUUCUCAGAUUGUGGGGCCCAGAACUGACAGCAGCACUCAAGGUGAGGCCGCACCAACGCUGAAUACAGCGGGAUAAUCCACUCUUUGGCCCGGCUGCUUCUGCUGUCUUUGAUGCAGCCCCGGGUGCUGUUUGCCCUCUUGGCUGCCAGGGCGCGCACACUGCUGGCUCGCACUGAGCCUGCUGUCAGCCAGCGCCCCUGCAUCCCUUUCUGCAGGGAUGCUCUCCAGCCACUCCUCUCCCAGUCUGUUUCAGAGCAGAUGCUCACAAGCAUUAACGUGGUGCACAUGUGUAGCCAGGAGUGGGCUGAUGUGAUCCUCAGUUUAGCUUGAAAAACCUUUGCUGGAAGCCUGGCAAAGGGAAGGGAGGGCCACAGAAAGUCACGACUCCCCUGCGUCGUGUGGAGGGACAGAUGCAUGAAUGUGAUGGUAAAGAUGAAUCUUUGCCAGAAAGAGGAAAGCAGUCUGUAAGGGAGAACUAUGAUCAAUGCCACGUUUGACUUUGGAUGACAAAGUGGCAGCAGGAAAGCAGGCUCUGAGUUAGUCCCUGUUUGCUGAAGAGCGAGAAUCUGAAGAAUGAGGAGCAGGAGUGAUCAGACACUUUUUAAAAAAGAGGAGGAGCUCUCGAGCAGGAGGUGCGUGGUAUUUUCCAAAGUAUUACACUUGGCAAGGCUUGUGAACUCUUUUCACAUGAAUUCUCAUCUUGGCAUCCAAAAAAACCCCUAAAUGUUCCUGCACCUAAUUUCAGAGGAGCCCUGACAUGGGACUGUGAUCAGUGCUACAGAGGACAAGCAGCAACCCCUGGAGGGCACCCUAGGGCCCACACUGGGAGUCCAGAAAGGUUCCUCCCCCCGAAUGCGGGGCACGAGGGCCAUCUUCGUGGAGCAGGAGCAGCAGGCACCUGGCCAGCAUGGCCCAAAGGAGCCCUGGCCAGGGGCCGUGCUCCGUGCUGCAGAGGAAGGCAAAAAACCCCCAGGGACACUGGCUAGCCCACCGUGGGGGAAAAAAAGCCUUCCUCCCCCCAGCUGCAGGGCACGAGAGGCCACCUUCGUGGUGGACGAGCAGCAGGCAGUAACCUGGCCAAAAGGGACCGGAGGAGCCCUGACAAGUGGUCAUGCUCAGUGCUGCAGAGGAAGGCAAAAAACCC
Long non-coding RNA from Athene cunicularia (burrowing owl), 1208 nucleotides. RefSeq lists it as uncharacterized. The record is from RefSeq and is a predicted model, not a curated record. NCBI's taxonomy places the organism in Eukaryota, Metazoa, Chordata, Aves, Strigiformes, Strigidae. The transcript has 3 exons.